GACGAACGCUGGCGGCGUGCCUAAUACAUGCAAGUAGAACGCUGAAGGGAGGAGCUUGCUCUUCUUGGAUGAGUUGCGCACGGGUGAGUAACGCGUAGGUAACCUGCCUGGUAGCGGGGGAUAACUAUUGGAAACGAUAGCUAAUACCGCAUAAAAUGGAUUAUCGCAUGAUAAUCCAUUGAAAGGUGCAAAUGCAUCACUACCAGAUGGACCUGCGUUGUAUUAGCUAGUUGGUGGGGUAACGGCUCACCAAGGCGACGAUACAUAGCCGACCUGAGAGGGUGAUCGGCCACACUGGGACUGAGACACGGCCCAGACUCCUACGGGAGGCAGCAGUAGGGAAUCUUCGGCAAUGGACGGAAGUCUGACCGAGCAACGCCGCGUGAGUGAAGAAGGUUUUCGGAUCGUAAAGCUCUGUUGUAAGAGAAGAACGAGUGUGAGAGUGGAAAGUUCACACUGUGACGGUAUCUUACCAGAAAGGGACGGCUAACUACGUG
This 497-nucleotide ribosomal RNA is filed under the name uncultured bacterium. RNAcentral describes it as "partial 16S ribosomal RNA". It matches the Rfam family "Bacterial small subunit ribosomal RNA", at positions 28 to 507 of the family's 1533-position model. The record is from RNAcentral.